RNAcentral lists this transfer RNA (72 nucleotides) under Gymnogeophagus balzanii. RNAcentral's name for it is "tRNA-Thr". It matches the Rfam family "tRNA". From Rfam's summary of the family: Transfer RNA (tRNA) molecules are approximately 80 nucleotides in length. Their secondary structure includes four short double-helical elements and three loops (D, anti-codon, and T loops). Lineage: Eukaryota; Metazoa; Chordata; Actinopteri; Cichliformes; Cichlidae. The record is from RNAcentral.
GCUGUAGUAGCUCAGUGCCAGAACGCCGGUCUUGUAAACCGGACGCCGGAGGCUAAAAUCCUCCCUACCGCU